This 253-nucleotide ribosomal RNA is filed under the name uncultured bacterium. RNAcentral's name for it is "partial 16S ribosomal RNA". It matches the Rfam family "Bacterial small subunit ribosomal RNA", at positions 524 to 776 of the family's 1533-position model. The record is from RNAcentral.
UACGUAGGGUGCGAGCGUUAAUCGGAAUUACUGGGCGUAAAGCGUGCGCAGGCGGUGAUGUAAGACAGGUGUGAAAUCCCCGGGCUUAACCUGGGAACUGCAUUUGUGACUGCAUCGCUGGAGUGCGGCAGAGGGGGAUGGAAUUCCGCGUGUAGCAGUGAAAUGCGUAGAUAUGCGGAGGAACACCGAUGGCGAAGGCAAUCCCCUGGGCCUGCACUGACGCUCAUGCACGAAAGCUAGGGGAGCAAACAGG